AAUGGGGGCAACCCUGAUCUAGCCAUGCCGCGUGUGUGAUGAAGGCCUUAGGGUCGUAAAGCACUUUCGCCAGGGAUGAUAAUGACAGUACCUGGUAAAGAAACCCCGGCUAACUCCGUGCCAGCAGCCGCGGUAAUACGGAGGGGGUUAGCGUUGUUCGGAAUUACUGGGCGUAAAGCGCGCGUAGGCGGACUAUUAAGUCAGAGGUGAAAUCCCGGGGCUCAACCCCGGAACUGCCUUUGAUACUGGUAGUCUUGAGGUCGAGAGAGGUGAGUGGAAUUCCGAGUGUAGAGGUGAAAUUCGUAGAUAUUCGGAGGAACACCAGUGGCGAAGGCGGCUCACUGGCUCGAUACUGACGCUGAGGUGCGAAAGCGUGGGGAGCAAACAGGAUU
This 392-nucleotide ribosomal RNA is filed under the name uncultured Gammaproteobacteria bacterium. RNAcentral describes it as "bacterial SSU rRNA". It matches the Rfam family "Bacterial small subunit ribosomal RNA", at positions 370 to 779 of the family's 1533-position model. Lineage: Bacteria; Pseudomonadati; Pseudomonadota; Gammaproteobacteria. The record is from RNAcentral.